GGCUUUCUCCCUGCUUGCCGGGGUGGUCCUCUCCUCUUUGUCGGACCAAAGAAGUAAAUACUGUGUGGAGGGGGACUGACGUGUUUGGAGGGAAAUGGGAAGGUACACGAUAAUUAAAGAGUAAAGUUGUGCUUAACGUUUCAGGAAUAAAAAGUACAAAAGAAGACUGGUUAAAAUGUGUUGCUACAAAGAAAAGGACACAGAAAGACAGCCAAGAGAAAGAUAAUGUUAAUUCAAGACUCUCAAAGAGAAGCUUCAGUGCAGAUGGAUUUGAGAUGCUACAAAACCCAGUAAAAGAUUCAAAAGAAAUGUUUCAAACCUACAAACAGAUGUACCUGGAGAAGAGAAGCAGAAGCCUUGGUAGCAGUCCUGUAAAAUAAUUACAAGAUGUGGUUUUGUAAUUGCCACUGGGAAAUUUCUUUCCUUUUCUGUUCAAAAUAUUUCGCUGAAACUAAUGAGAAAUGCCAUGAUAAAGAUUUCUCAGAGUUUGGUUCCCACUUUCAUUAUGUUUCAUUGAAAGUGCUUAAGAACUUUGGGUAGCCAUGUGUAAGAAAUGGAUGAUGUUCACCGGGGAAACAUAAGGUAUUUGAAUUUCUGCUUUAUUGAACCAGGUUUGCUAUUAUUUUAAAUGGAGUGCUUAUACAAAUCAAUUUGAAAUUCUACCCAUCUUGAGGGAGGACUGUUCCUCAGUUAAGGACUUGUUUAUUUAAAUGGGACUGUAAAUAUGUUUUGGUUUCUAAGCUAUAUUAGCAAAAUUUAUUUUUCAAAAAUGCCCACUGUGAUGUGAAUGUCAAAAUAUAUU
This 802-nucleotide small RNA is filed under the name Pongo abelii (Sumatran orangutan). Its description in RNAcentral is "processed transcript". Lineage: Eukaryota; Metazoa; Chordata; Mammalia; Primates; Hominidae. The record is from RNAcentral.